UACGUAGGGUGCGAGCGUUAAUCGGAAUUACUGGGCGUAAAGCGUGCGCAGGCGGCCGAGCAAGUCGAGUGUGAAAGCCCCGGGCUUAACUUGGGAAUUGCGCUCGAAACUACUUGGCUGGAGUGUGGCAGAGGAAGGUGGAAUUCCAGGUGUAGCGGUGAAAUGCGUAGAGAUCUGGAGGAACACCGAUGGCGAAGGCAGCCUUCUGGGCCAACACUGACGCUCAUGCACGAAAGCGUGGGGAGCAAACAGG
RNAcentral lists this ribosomal RNA (253 nucleotides) under uncultured bacterium. Its description in RNAcentral is "partial 16S ribosomal RNA". It matches the Rfam family "Bacterial small subunit ribosomal RNA", at positions 524 to 776 of the family's 1533-position model. The record is from RNAcentral.